This 592-nucleotide long non-coding RNA is filed under the name Homo sapiens (human). Its description in RNAcentral is "TMEM139 antisense RNA 1". The record is from RNAcentral. Lineage: Eukaryota; Metazoa; Chordata; Mammalia; Primates; Hominidae.
UUGAUUGGAGCUCUUCCAGGGCUUCCUUCCUGGGCCAUGGACCCCUCUGAGGCCAUUCGCCUCUGUUCCAGUUUGGCUCUCCUGGACCCCUCUGGAUGGCUAGGUUGUUCCUCCUCAGUCUGCAUUGAUUGGAGCUGGGACCGAAGCCCCCAUUCCAGAAACCGGACCAGGAGAUAGGCAAACAAGAAGAAGCCACCCAAUGUGAGAAAGAAAUAAGCAACGGGGGUGAUGUCCGUCUUUAUGCCCAGCAAAGCCAGCCCCAGUAGGAAGGAGGCGCAGCACAGGAGGAGAAGCGGCUUCUCCAGUCUCCCCAGUUCUUCAAUCUCAAAUAAAUCAUCUGUAGAGUCCCCUCCAGUUCCGAAAUUCUCUCUAUGUCUUGGAGUGUGUGGAAUAGCCAGGAAACCAGCCCAGGAGCUUUGACUCCCAGCCAUUCUGCACCUUAAGCAAAAAGGAAGUUAGCCACACAUGGUGGCUCAUGACUGUAGUCUCAGCUACAUGGGAGGCAAGGCGAGAGGAUCUCUUGAGCCCAGGAGUUCGAGGCCAGCCUAGGCAAUGUAGUAAGACCCUGUUCUUAAAUUUUUUUAAAAAGCAA